GAUGAACGCUGGCGGCGUGCCUAAUACAUGCAAGUCGAGCGAACAGACGAGGAGCUUGCUCCUCUGACGUUAGCGGCGGACGGGUGAGUAACACGUGGAUAACCUACCUAUAAGACUGGGAUAACUUCGGGAAACCGGAGCUAAUACCGGAUAAUAUAUUGAACCGCAUGGUUCAAUAGUGAAAGACGGUUUUGCUGUCACUUAUAGAUGGAUCCGCGCCGCAUUAGCUAGUUGGUAAGGUAACGGCUUACCAAGGCGACGAUGCGUAGCCGACCUGAGAGGGUGAGCGGACACACUGGAACUGAGACACGGUACAGACUCCUACGGGAGGAAGCAGUAGGGAAUAUUUCGCAAUGGGCGAAAGCAUGACGGAGCAACGCCGCGUGAGUGAUGAAGGUCUUCGGAUCGUAAAACUCUGUUAUUAGGGAAGAACAAAUGUGUAAGUAACUAUGCACGUCGUGACGGUACCUAAUCAGAAAGCAACGGCUAACUACGUG
RNAcentral lists this ribosomal RNA (497 nucleotides) under uncultured bacterium. Its description in RNAcentral is "partial 16S ribosomal RNA". It matches the Rfam family "Bacterial small subunit ribosomal RNA", at positions 28 to 507 of the family's 1533-position model. The record is from RNAcentral.